RNAcentral lists this long non-coding RNA (334 nucleotides) under Homo sapiens (human). RNAcentral's name for it is "HSALNT0312657". The record is from RNAcentral. Lineage: Eukaryota; Metazoa; Chordata; Mammalia; Primates; Hominidae.
GUGGUUAUUUAGUAGGAACUUCAGGGGCUGGACAGGAGAUUUGAAGCAGGAAAGUGAGUUCAGCAAUGUUAUAUGCCAUAGUGCUCAUUACAUCAUCUGGAUUUUCCAGAGCCAGGCUCUUCUGAGGACAUGGGAUAGCAAAGGCUGCAGAUCUCAACACAACUUUAGAGAAUGCCUUGGAGUUAUGGAGACAGAAGUCAGAAUACAGCAGGUUGAGAAGUAACUCGUCAAGAGCAAGAAAAGUUGCAAGCAUACACACAACGGAAAAACAGCACUGAAAGGAAGAUGUGAAGAAAUAUACUUAGAGCAUUUUUCAUAUUCCAUUUAAUUCAUA